RNAcentral lists this ribosomal RNA (1043 nucleotides) under uncultured soil eukaryote. RNAcentral's name for it is "SSU rRNA". It matches the Rfam family "Eukaryotic small subunit ribosomal RNA", at positions 13 to 1029 of the family's 1831-position model. The record is from RNAcentral.
CCUGCCAGUAAUCAUAUGCUUGACUCAAAGAUUAAGCCAUGCAUGUCUAAGUAUAAGCAAUUAUACGGCGAAACUGCGGAUGGCUCAUUAUAUCAGUACCAAUUUACUUGAGGAGAUAAUACUACUUGGAUAACUGUAGUAAUUCUAGAGCUAAUACAUGCACGGACGGUGGAACGGGUUCGCCCGCGAAGCCUGCAUUUAUUAGAAUCAGAACUGAUUUGGGGCAUUCAACUCGGGCAACCGGGGUCCCAAUUUAAGUUGAAUCAAAGUAAACGUAAAGCGAAUCGAGGGCUUCGGUCCUCGAUACAACAAACAAGGUUCUGACCUAUCAACUUUCGAUGGUAGUAUAGGGGACUACCAUGGUGAUAACGGGUAACGGGGAAUUAGGGUUUGAUUCCGGAGAGGGAGCCUGAGAAAUGGCUACCACUUCCAAGGAAGGCAGCAGGCGCGCAAAUUACCCAAUCCCAAUACGGGGAGGUAGUGACAAGAAAUAGCAAUGUGAGACCCUAUGGGUAUCACGAUUGGAAUGAGAACAAUUUAAACCACUUAACGAGGAACAAUUGGAGGGCAAGUCUGGUGCCAGCAGCCGCGGUAAUUCCAGCUCCAAUAGUGUAUAUUAAAGUUGUUGCGGUUAAAAAGCUCGUAGUUGGACUCCGGGUUUGAGUGCAAUGGUUCCUCUGGGCUUGCUCAGGGGGUUAAGGCCGUGCAUUUCAAUCCUUUACUUGAAACGUAAAAACAGGGGGUAAAACCUUUGUGUUUCGAGAUUUUACUUUGAAUGAAUUAGAGUGUUUAAAGCAGGCCAACGCGCCUUGAAUAUUUUAGCAUGGGAUAAUAGAAUACGACUUUGGUCUAUCUUGUUGGUUUCUAAGGCCAGGGUAAUGAUUAAUAGGGUCAGUUGAGGUCGCUUGUAUUCAGUGGUCAGAGGUGAAAUUCUAAGACCCACUGAGGACAAACAAAUGCGAAGGCAUUCGACAAGGAUGUUUUCAUUAAUCAAGAACGAAAGUUGUGGGAUCGAAGAUGAUUAGAUACCGUCGUAGUCACAA